AUGGUAGGUUCACAGUCCAACUCCAAGACUGUGGAGCAACAGCCAGAGUCUGACCCAGUAGAUUCAGGAGACUCUGUGACUCUGCAGUGUACAGUAAUCUCUGAGACCUCUAGAGGAGAACACAAUGUGUACUGGUUCAGAGCUGGAUCAGGAGACUCCCAUCCAGGAGUCAUUUACACCCCUGGGAACAGGAACGGGAUGUGUAAGAAGAGCCCUGAGACUCCUUCUACUACACAGAGCUGUGUCUACAGCCUCUCCAAGAACAACCUCAGCCCCUCUGAUGCUGGGACUUACUACUGUGCUGUGGCCACAUGUGGUGAGAUCCUGUUUGGCAAUGGAACAAAACUGGAUGUCAAAGGUAGUUUUAAUGAGAUGGGAAGAAGCCUAGUAACCUUAAAACUGAAUUAUACUGCAGCAUAAUCACAAAUAGAGGUCAACAAUGAAUUAAAAUGCCUACUACGAUAUUUGCGCAUUUAUAUGGAACUUACAAUGCAGUCUUUUAAAAGGUUGGACAAAGAAGUUCCUGUUGUUCAUUAUUAUUAUUUUGUUAUUAGAUCAUAAAAAGCUGUUUUCAUUGUAUUGUUAUUAUGUUCACCAUGUAUUUGUAGUAGGGAUGGACUGUAAUGCACUGGUUCCAGUUGGUAUUAGUCUGUGUGGACCAUUAAUGCUGAAUGCUGUGUUACUGUUCUUCAUCCACUCAAGUCAAAAGGAACCAAACGGUGAGCAUUAAAACCAGUGCUGUAAUUUAAAAGCUGGUGCUAUAAUUCGACAGUUUCUUGACUACAUGACAUGUUGAAUUUUAAACAAUGAAUUCAUGUAAUUACAUUUAUCCAAUGCAUCAUGUUUGGAGGCUAUUCACAGUUGAACCAUUUUGUUUUUUUAAAUACUGUUGUUCUUUUGUACACAGUUUCGUUAGAAAAAUUACUUACUUGUUUGAAAAUGAUCCUUUAGUCUAAUAAAUGUUUGUGUGAUUUAUUAGUGUCCUCAGCAACCAGUCUAGAGACAA
This is a non-coding RNA of Oncorhynchus nerka (sockeye salmon), 1006 nucleotides long. NCBI's taxonomy places the organism in Eukaryota, Metazoa, Chordata, Actinopteri, Salmoniformes, Salmonidae. The record is from the annotation of a RefSeq genome assembly.